Molecule: ribosomal RNA, 495 nt
Filed under: uncultured Actinomycetes bacterium
Lineage: Bacteria; Bacillati; Actinomycetota; Actinomycetes
Description: bacterial SSU rRNA
Rfam family: Bacterial small subunit ribosomal RNA
Source: RNAcentral
UGGGGAAUCUUGCGCAAUGCGCGACAGUGUGACGCAGCAACGCCGCGUGGGGGAAGAAGGCCUUCGGGUUGUAAACCUCUUUCAGGAGGGACGAAGCUUCGGCAGCGAAUAGCUGUCCGGAGUGACGGUACUUCCACAAGAAGCCCCGGCUAACUACGUGCCAGCAGCCGCGGUAAUACGUAGGGGGCAAGCGUUGUCCGGAAUCAUUGGGCGUAAAGAGCGCGUAGGCGGCCAGAUAAGUCCGGUGUGAAAGUCACAGGCUCAACCUGUGAAUGCCGCUGGAAACUGUUUGGCUAGAGUCCGGUAGGGGCGAGUGGAAUUCCUGGUGUAGCGGUGAAAUGCGCAGAUAUCAGGAGGAACACCAAUGGCGAAGGCAGCUCGCUGGACGGUACUGACGCUGAGGCGCGAAAGCGUGGGGAGCGAACAGGAUUAGAUACCCUGGUAGUCCACGCCGUAAACGAUGGGUACUAGGUGUAGGAGGUGUCGACUCCUCCG